GGUUGGUCCAAGUGCAGUAGGGUUUACAACUAAUUGAUCACAACCAGUUACAGAUUCCUUUGUUCCUUCUCCACUCCCACUGCCUCACUUGACCAGCCUUUA
This 102-nucleotide Y RNA is filed under the name Prolemur simus (greater bamboo lemur). RNAcentral's name for it is "Y RNA (ENSPSMG00000014221.1)". It matches the Rfam family "Y RNA". From Rfam's summary of the family: Y RNAs are components of the Ro ribonucleoprotein particle (Ro RNP), in association with Ro60 and La proteins. The Y RNAs and Ro60 and La proteins are well conserved, but the function of the Ro RNP is not known. The record is from Rfam by way of RNAcentral. Lineage: Eukaryota; Metazoa; Chordata; Mammalia; Primates; Lemuridae.